CAUUAAAAUGCAAAAGUUGAUGAAAAAGUAUGAUAAGGUGAAAAAAGUGACAUUUUAUGUCUAGAAAGUCAGUUUUCAUCAAAAGUACAAUAACAAAAUUAGUUCCCAUUCAUCCUGUGUCCCCUAACACACUUGUGCUCUUUAUCCGCUCAAAACGCUAUACAGCGAACGAGAAGGCGCUAGGAGCAAGGAAAGUGGUUUUUCUAACAAAGUCAUAUAAUCAGUUGUCCGACCUACUCCAAUUUGAUUUUUUUCACAUAGUUAGACAUAAUUUAGUACUAUGAAAUGUUUCUGACCCAAAAUAUUACGAAAUAUGAUUGUUUACAUUAAAAUGCAAAAGUUGAUGAAAAAGUAUGAUAAGGUGAAAAAAGUGACAUUUUAUGUCUAGAAAGUCAGUUUUCACCAAAAGUACAAUAACAAAAUUAGUUCCCAUUCAUCCUGUGUCCUCUAACACACUUGUGCUCUUUAUCCGCUCAAAACGCUAUACAGCGAACGAGAAGGCGCUAGGAGCAAAGGAAAGUGGUUUUUCUAACAAACUCAUAUAAUCAAGUGCACGACGUACUCCAAUUUGAUUUUUUUCACAUAGUUAGACAUAAUAUAGUACUAUGAAAU
Molecule: long non-coding RNA, 612 nt
Organism: Ictalurus punctatus (channel catfish)
Lineage: Eukaryota; Metazoa; Chordata; Actinopteri; Siluriformes; Ictaluridae
Source: Ensembl